RNAcentral lists this ribosomal RNA (238 nucleotides) under uncultured bacterium. RNAcentral describes it as "partial 16S ribosomal RNA". It matches the Rfam family "Bacterial small subunit ribosomal RNA", at positions 99 to 334 of the family's 1533-position model. The record is from RNAcentral.
CGAACGGGUGAGUAAUACAUAAGCAACCUACCCACGAAGACUGGGAUAAUCUCUGGAAACGGGGACUAAUACCGGAUAGGUAAUCGGAAGGCAUCUUCUGAUUAUUAAAGGUUAAAAAACACUGGUGGAUGGGCUUAUGGCGCAUUAGUUAGUUGGUGAGGUAACGGCCCACCAAGACGAUGAUGCGUAGCCGGCCUGAGAGGGUGAACGGCCACAUUGGGACUGAGACACGGCCCAG